CCCUAAAAAGUCCUUUAAACAUAAAGG
This 27-nucleotide transfer RNA is filed under the name Rhinella arborescandens. Its description in RNAcentral is "partial tRNA-Phe". The record is from RNAcentral. Lineage: Eukaryota; Metazoa; Chordata; Amphibia; Anura; Bufonidae.